AUUCCCUAAAAAACACGCAUCUACGUUUCCGCCGUGACAUCCCCAUUCCCUAAAAAACACGCAUCCACGUUUCCGCCGUGACAGCCUCUAGAACUACUCAACUACUGCUUCAUCACUAUCCGACGCAAAAAUCUGGAUCUAAACUUUCACUCGAAAUGAGAAGGAUUGGCGACGGAUCGACGCUUGGCAAGAGAGGGGGAUUCGUGGGGCACCAUCGGAACCAGCUGAAGCAGACGCUCAGCGGAGGUGUCAAGGGCCUGUUUGGGAAGCUGUCGGUUGCGGUGAUCGUCCUAGUGAUUUGCACCGUCUCGUUGUUGCUCACCGUUAAGAGUAACAACAGCAACAAUCAGCAUUCUUUCUUUCGAUCGAAACAGAUCAAUCUAGAGACACUAUGGGGAACUGCUGCAUCUGGUGGUUGGCGGCCAUCAUCUGCUCCGCGAUCUGAUUGGCCGCCUCCUCCGAAAGAGAGCAAUGGCUAUCUACGUGUUCGUUGUAACGGUGGUCUGAAUCAGCAACGCACGGCGAUCUGUAAUGCUGUUCUUGCUGCCCGAAUUAUGAAUGCUACACUUGUGCUGCCGGAGUUGGACGCAAACUCUUUCUGGCAUGAUGACAGUGGUUUCCAAGGUAUCUACGAUGUUGAGCACUUUAUCAAGGCAUUGAGGUAUGACGUGCGGAUUGUGGAGAGCAUUCCUGAAGUUCAGAAGAAUGGGAAGACCAAGAAGAUUAAAGCUUAUCAGCUUCGACCCCCUAGAGAUGCUCCAAUCCGUUGGUACACAACAGAAGCUCUUGAGAAGAUGAAGGAACACACUGCUAUCUACCUCACUCCCUUUUCACAUCGCUUGGCAGAAGAGAUUGAUAACCCUGAAUACCAGCGGUUGAGAUGCCGAGUUAAUUAUCAUGCGCUCAGAUUUAAGCCCAACAUUAUGAAGUUAAGUAAUUCAAUAGUCAGCAAACUUCGUGCAGAAAGCCACUUCAUGUCAAUACAUCUUCGGUUUGAGAUGGAUAUGCUGGCAUUUGCUGGGUGCUUUGAUAUAUUUACAACUAAGGAGCAAAGUAUAUUGAAGAAAUAUCGGCAAGAAAAUUUCGCGGAGAAGAAGCUUGUUUAUAGUGAGAGAAGAGCCAUUGGAAAAUGUCCAUUAACUCCAGAGGAGGUUGGUCUCAUAUUACGUGCAAUGGGGUUUGACAAUUCCACGAGGAUAUACCUUGCAGCGGGUGAGAUAUUUGGCGGUGAGCGAUUCAUGAAACCUUUUCGCUCUAUGUUCCCUCGCCUUGAGAACCACAGCACAGUGGACCCCAGUGAGGACCUAGUGGGGAACAAUCGGGGUUUGUUAGGCUCUGCUGUGGAUUACAUGGUUUGUCUCCUCUCCGAUGUUUUCAUGCCAACGUAUGAUGGCCCAAGCAAUUUUGCCAAUAACCUCCUAGGGCACCGUUUAUACUACGGUUUCCGCACCACGAUCCGGCCUGACAGAAAAGCCCUUGCUCCUAUAUUUAUCAAUCGGGAAAAUGGGCAAAUGGCUGGUUUUGAAGAAGCUGUUAGGCGUGUGAUGCUUGGAACAAAUUUCGGUGGGCCUCACAAGCGGGUCCCGCCCGAGUCUUUUUAUACAAACUCCUGGCCCGAGUGUUUCUGCCAAACAUCACCACAGAAUCCAGCUGACAAGUGUCCGCCUGGGGAUGUCCUGGAAGUGUUGGAGAGCAAAUUGGAGAGAAACGAACAGUAACUAGAAACCUUGAUGACUAAUCACAUCCAACUCUGAAUAUAGUGAUGGUGGUCAUACUAAUCCCUCAGUGAUGCAAGACUGGAGACUGGAGUGGUUUAGUUAUUUUUAUCGGCUUCUUUCAGGUCCGUUGGUUUUUCAGUUCUCCAUGGCGGUACGGACACAAUUGUCUUUCGGAUGGCUGGAUUCACCUUAACGGGGGAGUGGAGUAGGUGGACUCUUAUAAACGGAGAUAAGGCAAUCUGUUUAUUCGCCUGAAGCAUGCAGGGACCGCAAUGAUAUUUCUGUCUGUAUCAAUAUUUGUCUGUAACAUGUUUCUAUGUAAAUUAUUGAUCCUAGUAUAAACUUAAAUAGAAAAAGAUCCAUCUCUGUUAGAUGGACUUUCUCCCACAACUUUAUGAACUUAUAUUUCUUGUUAUUGUGAGACUUGCACCCCUAAA
This is an RNA transcript of Rhododendron vialii, 2155 nucleotides long. It is a transcript of the gene named O-fucosyltransferase 1-like, with no coding region annotated. NCBI's taxonomy places the organism in Eukaryota, Viridiplantae, Streptophyta, Magnoliopsida, Ericales, Ericaceae. The record is from RefSeq and is a predicted model, not a curated record. The transcript has 10 exons.